GACGAACGCUGGCGGCGUGCCUAAUACAUGCAAGUAGAACGCACAGUUUAUACCGUAGCUUGCUACACCAUAGACUGUGAGUUGCGAACGGGUGAGUAACGCGUAGGUAACCUGCCUAUUAGAGGGGGAUAACUAUUGGAAACGAUAGCUAAUACCGCAUAACAGUAUGUAACACAUGUUAGAUGCUUGAAAGAUGCAAUUGCAUCGCUAGUAGAUGGACCUGCGUUGUAUUAGCUAGUAGGUAGGGUAAAGGCCUACCUAGGCAACGAUACAUAGCCGACCUGAGAGGGUGAUCGGCCACACUGGGACUGAGACACGGCCCAGACUCCUACGGGAGGCAGCAGUAGGGAAUCUUCGGCAAUGGGGGGAACCCUGACCGAGCAACGCCGCGUGAGUGAAGAAGGUUUUCGGAUCGUAAAGCUCUGUUGUUAAGGAAGAACGAGUGUGAGAAUGGAAAGUUCAUACUGUGACGGUACUUAACCAGAAAGGGACGGCUAACUACGUGCCAGCAGCCGCGGUAAUACGUAGGUCCCGAGCGUUGUCCGGAUUUAUUGGGCGUAAAGCGAGCGCAGGCGGUUAGAAAAGUCUGAAGUGAAAGGCAGUGGCUCAACCAUUGUAGGCUUUGGAAACUGUUUAACUUGAGUGCAGAAGGGGAGAGUGGAAUUCCAUGUGUAGCGGUGAAAUGCGUAGAUAUAUGGAGGAACACCGGUGGCGAAAGCGGCUCUCUGGUCUGUAACUGACGCUGAGGCUCGGAAGCGUGGGGAGCAAACAGG
Molecule: ribosomal RNA, 773 nt
Filed under: Streptococcus anginosus
Lineage: Bacteria; Bacillati; Bacillota; Bacilli; Lactobacillales; Streptococcaceae
Description: bacterial SSU rRNA
Rfam family: Bacterial small subunit ribosomal RNA
Source: RNAcentral